RNAcentral lists this unclassified non-coding RNA (353 nucleotides) under soil metagenome. RNAcentral describes it as "partial contains 5.8S ribosomal RNA, internal transcribed spacer 2, and large subunit ribosomal RNA". The stretch from base 1 to 120 matches the Rfam family "5.8S ribosomal RNA", at positions 35 to 154 of the family's 154-position model. The record is from RNAcentral.
GAUGAAGAACGUAGUGAAAUGCGAUAAGUAAUGUGAAUUGCAGAAUUCAGUGAAUCAUCGAAUCUUUGAACGCACAUUGCGCCCGCCAGUAUUCUGGCGGGCAUGCCUGUUCGAGCGUCAUUUCAACCCUCAGGCCCCCAGUGCCUGGUGUUGGGGAUCGGCCCAGCCUUCCUGUAAGGCCGCCGGCCCCGAAAAUCUAGUGGCGGUCUCGCUGUAGUCCUCCUCUGCGUAGUAGCACAACCUCGCAGUUGGAACGCGGCGGUGGCCAUGCCGUUAAACACCCCACUUCUGAAAGUUGACCUCGGAUCAGGUAGGAAUACCCGCUGAACUUAAGCAUAUCAAUAAGCGGAGGA